This 830-nucleotide ribosomal RNA is filed under the name uncultured bacterium. RNAcentral's name for it is "bacterial SSU rRNA". It matches the Rfam family "Bacterial small subunit ribosomal RNA", at positions 626 to 1457 of the family's 1533-position model. The record is from RNAcentral.
UUNUGAACUGGGUGACUAGAGUGUGUCAGAGGGAGGUAGAAUUCCACGUGUAGCAGUGAAAUGCGUAGAGAUGUGGAGGAAUACCGAUGGCGAAGGCAGCNUCCUGGGAUAACACUGACGUUCAUGCCCGAAAGCGUGGGUAGCAAACAGGAUUAGAUACCCUGGUAGUCCACGCCCUAAACGAUGUCGAUUAGCUGUUGGGCAGCAUGACUGCUUAGUAGCGAAGCUAACGCGUGAAAUCGACCGCCUGGGGAGUACGGUCGCAAGAUUAAAACUCAAAGGAAUUGACGGGGACCCGCACAAGCGGUGGAUGAUGUGGAUUAAUUCGAUGCAACGCGAAGAACCUUACCUGGUCUUGACAUGUACGGAACCCUCCAGAGACGGAGGAGUGCCUUCGGGAGCCGUAACACAGGUGCUGCAUGGCUGUCGUCAGCUCGUGUCGUGAGAUGUUGGGUUAAGUCCCGCAACGAGCGCAACCCUUGUCAUUAGUUGCCAUCAUAAAGUUGGGCACUCUAAUGAGACUGCCGGUGACAAGCCGGAGGAAGGUGGGGAUGACGUCAAGUCCUCAUGGCCCUUAUGACCAGGGCUUCACACGUCAUACAAUGGUCGGUACAGAGGGUAGCCAAGCCGCGAGGCGGAGCCAAUCUCACAAAACUGAUCGUAGUCCGGAUUGCACUCUGCAACUCGAGUGCAUGAAGUCGGAAUCGCUAGUAAUCGCAGGUCAGCAUACUGCGGUGAAUACGUUCCCGGGUCUUGUACACACCGCCCGUCACACCAUGGGAGUGGGGGAUACCAGAAGUAGGUAGGGUAACCGCAAGGAGCCCGCUUAC